RNAcentral lists this ribosomal RNA (1433 nucleotides) under metagenome. RNAcentral's name for it is "bacterial LSU rRNA". It matches the Rfam family "Bacterial large subunit ribosomal RNA", at positions 1471 to 2925 of the family's 2925-position model. The record is from RNAcentral.
ACCACGGGAAGGGAAGCAGAGCCGGGAAUGGAAAGCCCGGUGCAAGCGAAGUAGUCGCAGGGUUGGAAAAUCCGCCCUGCAUAAGACGAAGGCGUGAUGCGGAGCGAAAUGAAGUAGUGAAGCUGCGGCCCCUUCCUGUCGAGAAAAGCCGCUAUCGUGUAGCAAGGGCCCGUACCGUAAACCGACACAGGUGGAUGAGGAGAGGAUCCUAAGGCCGGCGGGAGAAGUGUUGUUAAGGAACUCGGCAAAAUGACUCCGUAACUUCGGGAGAAGGAGUGCUGCGCAAGCAGCCGCAGAGAAAUGGCCCAAGCAACUGUUUAGCAAAAACACAGGUCUAUGCGAAACCGGAAGGUGAGGUAUAUGGGCUGACGCCUGCCCGGUGCUGGAAGGUUAAGGGGAGAGCUUAGCAUAAGCGAAGGUUUGAACUUAAGCCCCAGUAAACGGCGGCCGCAACUAUAACGGUCCUAAGGUAGCGAAAUUCCUUGUCGGGUAAGUUCCGACCCGCACGAAAGGCGUAAUGAUUUGGGCACUGUCUCAACAACACACCCGGUGAAAUUGAAAUACCAGUGAAGAUGCUGGUUACCCGCGCCAGGACGGAAAGACCCCAUGGAGCUUUACUCCAGCCUGAUACUGGGAUUCGGUAUUGCAUGUACAGGAUAGGUGGGAGGCUAAGAACUUAUGGCGCCAGCCGUAAGGGAGCCGAUGUUGGGAUACCACCCCUGCAGUACUGGGUUUCUAACCUGCGCCCGUGACCCGGGCGGGGGACAAUGUCAGGCGGGGAGUUUGACUGGGGCGGUCGCCUCCGAAAGGGUAUCGGAGGCGCUCAAAGGUCUCCUCAGGAUGGUUGGAAACCAUCCAGAGAGUGCAAAGGCAGAAGGAGGCUUGACUGCGACACCGACGGGUGGAGCAGGUACGAAAGUAGGACUUAGUGAUCCGGUGGCAUAAAGUGGGAUUGCCAUCGCUCAACGGAUAAAAGCUACCCUGGGAUAACAGGCUUAUCACUCCCAAGAGUUCACAUUGACGGAGUGGUUUGGCACCUCGAUGUCGGCUCAUCGCAUCCUGGAGCUGGAGCAGGUUCCAAGGGUUGGGCUGUUCGCCCAUUAAAGCGGUACGCGAGCUGGGUUCAGAACGUCGUGAGACAGUUCGGUCCCUAUCCGGCGCGGGCGCAGGAUAUCUGAGAGGAGCUGUCCUUAGUACGAGAGGACCGGGAUGGACCGUCCGCUGGUGGACCGGUUGUCAUGCCAAUGGCACGGCCGGGUAGCCAAGACGGGAAGGGAUAAACGCUGAAGGCAUCUAAGCGUGAAGCCCCCCUCAAGAUGAGAUAUCCAUACUCGAAAGAGUGAGAGACCCCUUAGAGACGAUGAGGUAGAUAGGGCAGAGAUGGAAGCACAGCGAUGUGUGGAGUUGACUGUUACUAAUCGGUCGAAAGCUAA